AAUGAACGCUGGCGGCAGGCCUAACACAUGCAAGUCGAGCGAAUGAAGGGAGCUUGCUCCCGGAUUCAGCGGCGGACGGGUGGGUCAUGCCUAGGAGUCUGCCUUGUCGUGGGGGAUAACGUCCGGAAACGGGCGCUAAUCCCGCAUCCGUCCUGAUGGCGAAAGUGGGGGAUCUUCGGACCUCACGCUUUCUGAUGAGCCUAGGUCGGAUUAGCUAGUUGGUGGGGUAAAGGCCUACCAAGGCGACGAUCCGUAACUGGUCUGAGAGGAUGAUCAGUCAGACUGGAACUGAGACACGGUCCAGACUCCUACGGGAGGAAGCAGUGGGGAAUAUUAGGCAAUGGGGGAAAGCCUGAUACAGCAAAGCCGCGUGUGUGAUGAAGGUCUUCGGAUUGUAAAGCACUGUAAGUUGGGAGGAAGGACAGUAAGUUUAUACCUGGCUGUUUUGACGGUACCAACAGAAUAAGCACCGGCUAACUUCGUG
Molecule: ribosomal RNA, 484 nt
Filed under: uncultured bacterium
Lineage: Bacteria
Description: partial 16S ribosomal RNA
Rfam family: Bacterial small subunit ribosomal RNA
Source: RNAcentral